Long non-coding RNA from Oncorhynchus keta (chum salmon), 262 nucleotides. RefSeq lists it as uncharacterized. The record is from RefSeq and is a predicted model, not a curated record. The transcript has 3 exons. NCBI's taxonomy places the organism in Eukaryota, Metazoa, Chordata, Actinopteri, Salmoniformes, Salmonidae.
GUGGUGUGAGCCCAUAGGGAGGAGGUCAGAGACCUGGCAGCGUGGUGUGAGCCUAUAGGGAGGAGGUCAGAGACCUGGCAGCGUGGUGUGAGCCUAUAGGGAGGAGGUCAGAGACCUGGCAGUGUGGUGUGAGCCCAUAGGGAGGAGGUCAGAGACCUGGCAGUGUGGUGUGAGCCUAUAGGGAGGAGGUCAGAGACCUGGCAGUGUGGUGUGAGCCCAUAGGGAGGAGGUCAGAGACCUGGCAGUGUGGUGUGAGCCCAUA